UACGUAGGGUGCGAGCGUUGUCCGGAAUUAUUGGGCGUAAAGAGCGUGUAGGCGGUUUGUCGCGUCUGCUGUGAAAAUCCGGGGCUCAACCCCGGACUUGCAGUGGGUACGGGCAGACUAGAGUGUGGUAGGGGAGACUGGAAUUCCUGGUGUAGCGGUGGAAUGCGCAGAUAUCAGGAGGAACACCGAUGGCGAAGGCAGGUCUCUGGGCCACUACUGACGCUGAGAAGCGAAAGCAUGGGGAGCGAACAGG
RNAcentral lists this ribosomal RNA (253 nucleotides) under uncultured bacterium. RNAcentral's name for it is "partial 16S ribosomal RNA". It matches the Rfam family "Bacterial small subunit ribosomal RNA", at positions 524 to 776 of the family's 1533-position model. The record is from RNAcentral.